RNAcentral lists this small RNA (306 nucleotides) under Histoplasma ohiense. RNAcentral describes it as "hypothetical lncRNA". Lineage: Eukaryota; Fungi; Ascomycota; Eurotiomycetes; Onygenales; Ajellomycetaceae. The record is from RNAcentral.
AAAGGAGUGCAGUGCGUAAUUUCUUCCUCUGAAUAUGUAGCUAAGGAGUUAGUGGUUCCCAUCCCAUCCAUAUCCCGGAGCUAACAUACUAAAUAGCAUUUAUUAUGAGUAGUUAGAACAUUUUCCUUCAUAUUCUCUAUUCUGAUGGGGAAUUGGAAGAAAGUCUUUUGCUGGAUACUAGUACUUUGAAGCAUGUAAGAGCGGAUACAGAGCUCAGUUGGGCAUCUGUAAGAGCAUGAGGAAUCCAAGUUUUUUAUGUUGGAUGGAUAGACAGGCCUAAGGAGAGGACGAAGAGAAAUAAGAGGA